This 492-nucleotide ribosomal RNA is filed under the name uncultured bacterium. RNAcentral describes it as "partial 16S ribosomal RNA". It matches the Rfam family "Bacterial small subunit ribosomal RNA", at positions 29 to 507 of the family's 1533-position model. The record is from RNAcentral.
AGUGAACGCUGGCGGUAGGCCUAACACAUGCAAGUCGAACGGCAGCACAGUAAGAGCUUGCUCUUACGGGUGGCGAGUGGCGGACGGGUGAGGAAUACAUCGGACUCUACUUUUUCGUGGGGGAUAACGUAGGGAAACUUACGCUAAUACCGCAUACGACCUACGGGUGAAAGCAUGGGAUCUUCGGACCUUGCGCGAUUGAAUGAGCCGAUGUCGGAUUAGCUAGUUGGCGGGGUAAAGGCCCACCAAGGCGACGAUCCGUAGCUGGUCUGAGAGGAUGAUCAGCCACACUGGAACUGAGACACGGUCCAUACUCCUACGGGAGGCAGCAGUGGGGAAUAGUAGACAAUGGGCGCAAGCCUGAUCCAGCCAUACCGCGUGUGUGAAGAAGGCCUUCGGGUUGUAAAGCCCUUUUGUUGGGAAAGAAAAGCAGCAGGUUAAUACCCCGCUGUUCUGACGGUACCCAAAGAAUAAGCACCGGCUAACUUCGUG